GAUCAUGGCUCAGGAUGAACGCUGCGGCGUGCCUAACACAUGCAAGUCGAGCGAUUACUUCGGUAAAGAGCGGCGGACGGGUGAGUAACGCGUGGGUAACCUGCCUCAUACACAUGGAUAACAUACCGAAAGGUAUGCUAAUACAGGAUAAUAUAAGAGAUUCACAUGGAUUUCUUAUCAAAGCUCCGGCGGUAUGAGAUGGACCCGCGUCUGAUUAGCUAGUUGGUAAGGUAAUGGCUUACCAAGGCGACGAUCAGUAGCCGACCUGAGAGGGUGAUCGGCCACAUUGGAACUGAGACACGGUCCAAACUCCUACGGGAGGCAGCAGUGGGGAAUAUUGCACAAUGGGCGAAAGCCUGAUGCAAGCAACGCCGCGUGAGUGAUGAAGGCCUUCGGGUCGUAAAACUCUGUCCUCAAGGAAGAUAAUGACGGUACUUGAGGAGGAAGCCCCGGCUAACUACGUGCCAGCAGCUGC
RNAcentral lists this ribosomal RNA (475 nucleotides) under uncultured bacterium. RNAcentral describes it as "bacterial SSU rRNA". It matches the Rfam family "Bacterial small subunit ribosomal RNA", at positions 15 to 518 of the family's 1533-position model. The record is from RNAcentral.